UUUUCAAGAACAAUUCCCUUUGCGUGGGAAGAACCAGCAAAAGGCUUCUUCCACUCAUUCCCAAGAUGAGAUUUCUUGUAUGACUUAUCCGCCCACCUUUGCCUCCUGCGAUGGGACUUGAGCUUGCGAGCAGCUCCCAUUCCCCGUGUCUUCCUGUAAACCAGAAAGAAAACCUAAUAUAAUUCAAUACAUUCUAUGAUCUUUGUUGAGAACCAAUUUUUGAACAAAAUCUACCAAUACAUUAUUUGGUCCUUGUUGAACAUCCAGUUUCUGAACAAAAUUAACCAUUUCUAAACAACCACAUGUAGCUAAAAAUAUUUGUUAAUUACUGGUCGCAUUUUCCUAAAUUGUUACAAAAAUAUUUAAAACCCCAUCCUCGAAAACAAAAUUCGGAACUUAGUUCACUAGUCAGAACCCUAAAAAUGUAAAUUUUGCACACACUUCAUUCUCUAAAUUAAAAUAAAUGAAACACAGAUACAGAUACAAUAAAUAUAAAUAUAUAUAUAUAUAUAUACAAACACACAAAUAAUAAAAGCAAACAAAAUUUUUUACAACCUUUUGGUUUAGAAACAACUUAUAUUAACCAAUCAUCAAGUUUUACAUAAAUUUGUAAAACAUUGAGGUCAAAUUCAGUAUUCUAACUCAACCCUAAUGAAGUUAAUUGGUUUGUUGGUUUAACCAUUAUCUAAUCUCCUAUAAGCUCACAGAUAAAUAUUUACGAUAAUUUUCCAAGUUCAAAUUUCUUUUAUUGUUUAAUACUAUUUGAUGUCUGUCUGUUCAUUUCACCUCUCUUUCCUUAUUCCUCAAGGUCACACCCCUCACUUUCCUGCACCAAUGACAACAAUCUCUCACUUCCCGCACUAAAAUCUAAUCUGGGUUUCAUUCUUCAGAGGAAAAAGUUUCAGACUUUGUGGGUUUCAGCUUUGUUCCACUGCUGCCAUGAGCAAGGUCACACUAGGAGAUGCGUAUGGUUAUUUCCGGCAAGUGGAGUCGCCCAAUGGCCAUACUGAUAAGAGUUCGAGGAAAAGAGUGGGACUCUAUUUUGUUUCUGAUUUUCCUUAAUUUUCCUUAAUAAAUUUCAUAAGCAAAAUUCUCCGGAUAGUCAAAGAAUCUAAUGGAGUGAUCUCCGGCGUAUCUGAUGCGGUGUUCGAGUCCGCCACAGCAGUCCGAGGCGGAUGAGCGCCAUCGUUAUGGCGUGUGAGAGUUUAAUAGAUUAAUAUAACAAUUGCAAACAAUAAAUAAAGGGUGACCACAGGGUCGACCAAAUAACACUAAACAUAAGCGUGGACGAACCUAAUCGUCUUGCUUAAGGCGGAAAAAUCAAUUUAAAUCUUAGAAUGAUAAAAAUAUAAACCUACAUUAUAAAUGUAUACUUUUCGCAGGGUAAGUAACCUCAGAGGGAUUAGGUUUGAAACGGAUCCAGUGAAAGCAUAUAAGAAUUCACAACUCAAGUUAUUUGUGUAUGUUCAAUUUGAGGUUCUAAGCAAACAAAAACAAAAAAAAGAAAACAAAUGAAUAAAUACAUAAAGCAUAUAGAGAAGGUGAAAGAGAAAAUUAGGUUACCCCAUGGCUUCGUUCUUCUGGGCACAACUUGGUAUGGAGGAUGAAUAGCAACCACAGC
Molecule: long non-coding RNA, 1621 nt
Filed under: Vigna radiata
Lineage: Eukaryota; Viridiplantae; Streptophyta; Magnoliopsida; Fabales; Fabaceae
Description: long non-coding RNA (VRAD_LNC011521)
Source: RNAcentral